This 405-nucleotide unclassified non-coding RNA is filed under the name Microsporum ferrugineum. RNAcentral describes it as "partial contains ITS1, 5.8S rRNA and ITS2". The stretch from base 52 to 204 matches the Rfam family "5.8S ribosomal RNA". Lineage: Eukaryota; Fungi; Ascomycota; Eurotiomycetes; Onygenales; Arthrodermataceae. The record is from RNAcentral.
AACACANUCUUGAAAGAACAUACGUCUGAGCGAGCAACGCAAAUCAGUUAAAACUUUCAACAACGGAUCUUUGGUUCCGGCAUCGAUGAAGAACGCAGCGAAAUGCGAUAAGUAAUGUGAAUUGCAGAAUUCCGUGAAUCAUCGAAUCUUUGAACGCACAUUGCGCCCCCUGGCAUUCCGGGGGGCAUGCCUGUUCGAGCGUCAUUUCAACCCCUCAAGCCCGGCUUGUGUGAUGGACGACCGUCCCCCCUCCCCAACAACCACCCACCGCUUAGGGGGGUGGGAGGGAGGGGGACGCGCCCGAAAAGCAGUGGUCAGGCCGCGAUUCCGGCUCCUGGGCGAAUGGGACAUACCACCGCCUCCAGGACCGGCCGGCAGGCGGCCUAACGCACCAUGUAUUAUUCA